GUCACUCAUUCACACUCAUGCGUGUGCUCCUCCUGCAGUAACUCAUGAAUCCUCCUAGAAAUAAAACCCCAUUUGUUAGAUCUGGUUAGUAUAAACUCCCAUGGAAAUAUACUAGCAAGUAUAUUUAGGACUGUGUAAUUGCACAGUAUCUUUGUUUACUAAUCCACUUCGUUUUCUGGUUUAGAUCAAAGCUAUCCCUCUAAUGAAUAAUGGGGCUGUGAUGUAGGCUAUGCUGAGAUCUCACUGAGCAGACAUGUUUUUACAGUGGUGUUUUUACUCGUAUGAGCAUUUGGCGAAACAUCACAAGUAGUGUUUGCAUGAUGUUUGCCAUCCUAUUUACUAUGGAAGGCAGUUUCAGCCACUGAAAAAUAAAAAAAUAUAUUUUUUCUUUCUCAGAAUUGUGAGAUAUAAAGUCUGAGGAGAAAAAAAGACUACGUUCUCAGAAUUGCGAGUUUAUAACACAAUUAUAAAAAGGAAAAAGCCUGAAUUGUGAGAUGUAGUCAAAAUUGCAAGAAAAAGUGUUCGAUAAGUGAAGGAAACUGUCUUCCAUUAUGAGACAGAGUAAUUUAAUGUUUUAGCAUUCAUUUAAUUGCAUGUAUUUUUAUUAUCGUUAUCGUCUUUGGUGCAUCAUUAUUUUUAAUCAGUUCUUUUUUUUCUUUUUGAAUACCAUAGUUUAUAUAAAAAUAAUGCAAUAUAAAACUUUGAUUUAUCCUUGCAUAAUCAUAUACUGAGCAUAAGCUUCUACAUUUCUGUUUCUAGGUCACUAAUCGAAGCAGAUUUGUGACACUGAUCAUGUGAAAUACUUGGUACAGAGGGUCAGAUGCUCUUUGGAUCAUUUUCAAAUCAUGCUGAAGAACAAGAUCAUCAGAAGUUCAUGUGGGUUGAGUGCUAAAGCAUAAGAAAACAUGGCAAACAAUCUCUGAAAUUUAAGGGUCCCAGAGCCUGACCUUAACCCCAUAGAAAAUCGAUGGGGUAUUGUGAAGAGGAAGAGCUGAAGGCCACUAUCAGAGCAACCUGGGCUCUCAUAACACCUGAGCAGUGCCACAGACUGAUCGACUCCAUGCCACGCCGCAUUUCUGCAGUAAUUCAGGCAAAAGGAGCCCCAACUAAGUAUUGAGUGCUGUACAUGCUCAAACUUUUCAUGUUCAUAGUUAUCCAUUGGCCAAGAUUUCUAAAAAUAAUUUCUUUGUAUUGGUCUGAAGUAAUAUUCAAAUUUUCUGAGGUACUGAAUUUGGAAUUUUCCUUCGUUGUCAGUUAUAAUCCUCAAAAUGAAAUAAAUAAACAUUUGAAAUAUA
This is a long non-coding RNA of Carassius gibelio (silver crucian carp), 1295 nucleotides long. RefSeq lists it as uncharacterized. The record is from RefSeq and is a predicted model, not a curated record. NCBI's taxonomy places the organism in Eukaryota, Metazoa, Chordata, Actinopteri, Cypriniformes, Cyprinidae. The transcript is spliced from 2 exons.